GCCCGGGGCGCGCCCCGGGCGGGGCGGGGGCACGGGGGGAACGCGAAGAACCUUACCAGGUCUUGACAUCCCGAUGCUAUUUCUAGAGAUAGAAAGUUACUUCGGUACAUCGGUGACAGGUGGUGCAUGGUUGUCGUCAGCUCGUGUCGUGAGAUGUUGGGUUAAGUCCCGCAACGAGCGCAACCCCUAUUGUUAGUUGCCAUCAUUCAGUUGGGCACUCUAGCGAGACUGCCGGUAAUAAACCGGAGGAAGGUGGGGAUGACGUCAAAUCAUCAUGCCCCUUAUGACCUGGGCUACACACGUGCUACAAUGGUUGGUACAACGAGUUGCGAGUCGGUGACGGCAAGCUAAUCUCUUAAAGCCAAUCUCAGUUCGGAUUGUAGGCUGCAACUCGCCUACAUGAAGUCGGAAUCGCUAGUAAUCGCGGAUCAGCACGCCGCGGUGAAUACGUUCCCGGGCCUUGUAC
This 466-nucleotide ribosomal RNA is filed under the name uncultured Streptococcus sp. RNAcentral's name for it is "bacterial SSU rRNA". It matches the Rfam family "Bacterial small subunit ribosomal RNA", at positions 912 to 1386 of the family's 1533-position model. The record is from RNAcentral. Lineage: Bacteria; Bacillati; Bacillota; Bacilli; Lactobacillales; Streptococcaceae.